RNAcentral lists this non-coding RNA (868 nucleotides) under Pan troglodytes (chimpanzee). Lineage: Eukaryota; Metazoa; Chordata; Mammalia; Primates; Hominidae. The record is from RNAcentral.
GGCCAGAUCGAGCGGAGAAAUGGUGUGUUGUCCUUGAAUCGAAGGAAGACAAACAUAAAGAUGAAGUGCUUAAUUCAAGGUCACACAAUGUCGGGGAUGGACCUCCAGAUUUCCUUACUGGAAAACAAGCUCAGGGCUCCCACUGAUUGUACAUUAUGAGACGGAGUCUUGCUAUGUUGCCCAGGCUGGUCUUGAACUCCUCACCUCAAGCGAUCCUCUCGUCUUGGCCUCCCAAGUGUCAGGAUUACAGGCAUGUGCUAUCACACCCAACCUGAUACAUUGCCUUUAUAAAUUUUUUUUUCUUUAUUCUAAAAACCAGAAAAAACAAAACUGGAUACAUGUGCAGAACAUGCAGCAGGGAAUUUCUUCCACUUGCAGACCAAGUGUGUUGGGGACUUGAGAUGCGUACAUGAGUGUUUGUGAUGUUUCCUGCCGAAAGCACAGGUGAGACGUGGUCUUGUAACACAGUGGUUAAGAAUGUGACUUUGGAGCCAGCCUGCUAGGGGCUGAAUUCUGACUCAGCCAUUUACUAACUGUGUGACCUUAGGGAGGAGGACCUGGUUGAUAGAAGAAUUUAUCUCGUAGUCUUAACAUCCACUGUAAUUCCAAACUUUGAGGACGAUAGAGAUCAGUGGGCUUUGACUGCCCAGCAUGCAGUCUCCAUUCUUAGGUGGGUUCCCAAGCCUGUAAAAUGUAAGCCUUAUGCUGCUGAGGGCCAUCUUGCCACCCUGAGGGAAACGCUGCCUGAGAAUGAAACCAGCAUAAGUAAAAGCUGAGCUGUGAGAUGGAGCAAGAUGAAGGCCACAUGACAUCUUUGGAGCACCUGGAUCUAACUGUGCCUUAAGCUAGUCUAACCCUGAACAUUUCA